AGUGUGAGGGUGACUGGCUAUGAUAUUUCUCGCCCUACAGUCACCAGGAUUGAUUUGGCGGUUCUGGGGUUGAUCUAGCUGGCAGUGCGGUGCUCCCUUCCUCCCUGGCCUAUAUACAUCCCUCUAGAAGCAGUGAAAGAGGACAGCCUUUGCUGGGGGCCUUCUUCACUCAAGAUUGAGUAGCUGUGCUCCCAUGCUAGUCUCUCCCAACAAGCUCCUCAGGUUACAUUCCACCCUCAUUUCAAUGAAGCAAUGAAACAAUGAAGCAGAGUUCUUCUGAUGUGUUUUCUAACUAAUUCCAAGCAUCUUU
This 310-nucleotide small RNA is filed under the name Dipodomys ordii (Ord's kangaroo rat). RNAcentral describes it as "7SK RNA (ENSDORG00000022547.2)". It matches the Rfam family "7SK RNA". Rfam says of the family: 7SK was discovered as an abundant small nuclear RNA in the mid-70s but a possible function has only recently been suggested. Lineage: Eukaryota; Metazoa; Chordata; Mammalia; Rodentia; Heteromyidae. The record is from RNAcentral.